GGUAAUGUUAUAUACAGGGUAUAUUUAAAUACAGGGUAUUGUUAUUAGUACAGUGUAAGACCUCAAUCAAAAAGAGAGUCCAUCUGUUCUAUUGAAGUAUCUUCCAUAUAGCUGAUAAAGGGUUGCCAAAUUUUAUAAAACACUUUACUUUUAUUCCUUAACCAGUAUGUUAGUUUUUCCAAGGGUAUACAGUUGUUGACCUCAGAUAGCCACAAAUUAUUGGGGUUAGCAGUAUCAGAUUUCCACUUCAUUGCAAUGCACUUCUUGGCAAUAUUAGCAAGUUUUAUGGUGUAAACCUGUUGAAGAUUAGAAUUGUUAUAUUUACCCAAUAGGCAUACUUCUGGAUCCAUUGGAAAAUUGACUCCAUGAAUAUCAGAGAUAAUGUUGCAUACUUUUUGCCAAAAUGAAUUUAUGGACAGGUCCAUGUGGAAGGUAAAAAUUUUCCUUCAUCCACUCCACAUCUAAAGCAGAGAGGUGAAAUUUUUUAUUAAACUUAUGGAGUUUUGAUGGUGUGAUAUAAAGUUGAUGAAGGAUCAUUAUGGAGUUUUGAUGGUGUGAUAUAAAGUUGAUUAAGGAUCAUGAUUAAAUUGAAUCAUUCUAUAUCUAGAGUUCAAUUAUGAUGUACACUGUAGCACCAUCCCUCAUAGUUCACCCCAUGUUCCAUCGUUCCAUCAUCUAUGUUAAUGUCCAAAUCUUGUUCCCAUUUGACUUUAGAUUAAUCCACUUCUUUUAGCGGCUAAUUUUUCGUAAGGGAGUUAUGUAUUCUAGAGGUUAUUGUGUAUAAAGUUUGACUCGAAUAGAUAAAUUGCUCCAAUUGUGUUAAUUUAGGUCAUUUCAGUUGGGUUUAAAUCUCACAACUGCAGAUAUCCAAAGAACUCUUUACUGCCUAAGUUGUAUUUGGAUUUAAGAUGCUCAAAAGACAUCAGUAUCUCAUCCUCAAAACACUGUUCUAAGCCGGAACUUCCUUUAUCGGACGGUCCAUAUUUUAAAAUGUUUGUCUUGGAAGCAUUUUGGGAGCAGUCUAUUAUUCCAUAAUGGUGAAAACAAUAAAAUCGAAUAUGCAGUCCCUCCACUGAUCACAAGAUGGUGACAUUCCUUACAGAAACACCGAAAUAUUCUAACCUUUUUCUAAAGAAAACAUUAAUGAAACUUAUUAUUAACAGAGAGCUAAGCUUAGCACAGAAGUUUAGCGGUCUGGAAGUUGUUACAAAUGAAUCAGGUACGAUGUGUUAAAAUUAAACUUUUUUUCCCUUCAUGGGUUAUUGAAGCUCCUCAGCGCAGUUAGUGAGUAGCCUAUUAACCUGUGGUUCAGCUGCAAACGGCGUGUGGUUGCUGCUUCUAACGUUACAUUUCUCAUGGCUGGAGGUUGGACUAAUCAACAUCCUGUAAUAAUAUGUCAUGUGCCAGUCCUUAGGCUGGUUACACUGUAUAAUAAUUAUUAUAGGAUUUUAAGUAUUACAGUUUAGUGUAGUAAUGUGACCAAUGAGACAAACAACCUCCCGAUAAUUGGAUCGAGUAUGUGGCUAUUUGAGCUCCCAUUACUCCCCUUGGCAGAAGACAACUUUGUCUGUCUUCCCAGUAGCGAGUAUUCAGCCUAAUGUUCUCUUCCUCAGUUACACUUGUUGACCACAAGAGGGAGCACGCUAAUUUUUCUAACUAACAAAAGUUAUAUUUGAUAAUUCUUUUUUACAGUUCCAGCCAAAUAAAAAUGACAUUCAAAAUAUAGAAUAUUUAGAAAAUAUAGAAUAACAGUCUAAAAUAUAGACUGACACUUGUUAGGAAUUCAUACACCCCUUGUUAUAUAAAAUAUCAAAUGAUCCAUGAGUCAUUAUAAGUUAAUCUCAUUUACACUGCAUCAGACCACCCUAGAAAGUAUAGAGCAAUCUUUGAACUCCUCCACUAGAGAGUUUUACUUUUAAGCAAUUCUCAUUCAACAAAUGAGUCUGAUUAAUUCAAUACUUAAAAAAAUACACUACCAUUAAAUUAAAUUAUAUGGUACCUUUAGGUUGGUUAUCAAGAAAUUGACUUUGUGAAGGGCCUCAGAGCUAAUUAUGUCAUAAUGUGUUGCUAUUGAUAAUUUAUUUGAAAUUAUUUAAUAUACAAAUAUACAAAGCUCAGAACUGCAGUUAACUAAAUUAUUCUAGGUAAUCAGCUGGUGCUGAGUUAAGCUUGCAGCUGUUUGUUCGAACUCCUUAUGGCUAGCAGUUGGCAUGGUCGGAAAUAAAUGUAGCUUUGACAGCAGAAACUAGAUAGGGAAAGGUGGGUGUCCAGUUCAGACACUUUUCAUAUGUCAGGACAGGAGUUGUUCAAUUGGGGUCACUGUACCCAAGUAUCAUAAUUUAGGACCUUAUAUGGAACACGACCAAUAAAAACAAACUCUGGAUGUCUUGAUAAAAAGGUAUUAAACACUUUUCCUUCAAAAAUGAUAAACAAAAUAAUCAAACAUUUAAGACUUGUAGUUCGAAAAGAUUGAUCUUUCUACUGAAACCUUAUGCAGCUGAAUUAUUCAAUUGGUGAAUGAUAAUAUAAAAUGUUAACUUUGAUUUAAAAAGUUAGAAAUGAUAAUAAAGCAAAAUGAUAUUUAUUUAUCUACUCAAAAUGAGGGCAGUUCCAUGAGUUUUAUUAUUUAAAAUGUUAAAACAUUUAAUGUGCUUUUUUAAAAUAAAAUUUGUAAAAUGUUUUUUUAGAACUCAAAACACAAUAUAUGCUAUGUGUAAAUCAUGUUCUGCUUUAGCUGUUAUUGUCUGGGCUAAACACUAUAUCUCCUGAAGGUAUUUAAGGCUGUGAGUGAUGAGAAGCUUGAUAGUUGUUGGUUUGUAGCUAUCAAUUAUUGCUGUAGAGAAGCCUUGAUGAGCUGCUGAACUCAGACUAUUUACAAAAUGAGAGCUAUUCCAAAACAGUAAAAACACAGCAGGUGUGAAGUUGUCAACCUCUCAUCUUAAUGCCUUUUAAAUGUUAAGAGUCUAUGAAGCCAAGCUGCCUGACUGCAUUCUUCUCCAAUAAGUUUUGCCACGUUACUGACAGUACUUUCAUACACAGAGUUCAUUACAGUUGACUGUGAACACACUCUGAGGGCAUUGAAAUUCAGGCCUGAAUGUACUACAGUACAUACACAUCUGUACAGGUCAUUCACACUACUGUCCCUUACAAACAUAUUGUCACCAUACAUUGAAAAUAUAUAUAUUUCUUUACCCACUUUUUGCCUCAGAUAAAUAAAAUGUUACUACAUAAUUAUUAUUAUUUUUAUUAUAUUUAGUUUCAGGCAGAGUUGUUACCAUUAUAGACAUUGACAACAUUCAGAAUAGCGGUUGAUUUUUAAAUGUAUGAUUUUUGAAUGUAAAUGAUUAAUCACAAUAAUUGAACAAAGAUUGACUCCACCCUCCAAAUUUUUUUUGAGCCACUUGCAUCACACAGGCAAAUAUAACGUGUCCUAAAAGAGAUAUGGCCAAGAGAGCAAGUAUAUAUUUAGUGCAUGUUUCUGUAGACUGUUUGGCUCGGACAAGUCUGAGCUGCAGGGCACAACAGGGCAGUCGUCACAGUUGACAUUUGGCAACAUUUGCAGGAACGUGCAAAUAGGAUGCCAAGCAAGUUUUGAAACAACAAGGAAAUGGCUUUGAAUGUGAUGCCCUGGGAGACACACAACUGCACACUGGAUCAGUAUAUCCUCUAUGCCCUCCUGCUAAGUGGAUCCUACUCCACCUCACGCCUGCCCCUGAGUCUACAGAGACUGCUCCAGCCCCAGAGUUCAUCCCAGAGUCCUCUUCAUCCUCCUAUCUGGAUACCAAAUUGACACCAGUCUGGACUGACCAUGAAGUCAGUCCGUGCAUCUAUAAAAAUGUUUCCGGUGGUCCCAGAGCUCCCAAUUCAGGUGGUCCCAAAACUCCCCAGUCCAGUGAUCUCAGAGUUCUCAAAUCCGUUGGUCCCAAGUCCAUUGGUCCUAGCACUUCCGAGUCCAGUGGUCACAGAGGUACUUCCACCGUCAGCUGAGCUUCCUGUGAUGGCAACUGCUGUUUUGGGUGUUUGGGCCGCAUACACUUCUCCUGCUUCUUCCAAAGUGGCAGCGACCGCUACUGCUCCUCCCAAGGUGGCUAUCAACUCUCAGAAAAAUAACUCUUUCUUACUGGGUACAGUACUACUCAGAGCAUGUAGCCUUGAUCGCAUUGUUAAAGAAACUUUGUUUUGCAAGCAGUGAUCACAGAAUCAAUACAAAUGUGAAUGUUCACAAAAGUUUUAUUUAGCUAAAUCACGAACAUAUAACUAUAACUAGUUAUAUGUUUAUAUAGUCUAAACAAACACAUACACACAAUCACACAUAUAUGGGUAAAAUGGUGAAAGUGAACAAAUGAAACAGAAACAGGGGAAUGAGGCCAUGGAAAUGUAAGUGUCGGUUAAGCACCUGAAAAACAAACAAACAAACAAAAAAACACCAUCAGUUUCUUAAUUAAAGCACCCUGGUAGCAAGGGGUCUACAGCUUGGACUAAACCUCUGACAGAUGCAGUCUCGGAGGAAAGUCUUGAUGGUUCCAUGGUUUGAUGGUGAUGAAGAUGUCAGCAGAGACCUCUCCCAUGUGGAAAGUUACAACGUAGCUUGAUGUGUUGGGGCCCUGCCGUGAGGAGUCCUGCAGCGUUGCGGAGUCCCAAAGUGAGGUCCCACUGUGUUGCGGUUGGACCAGAUAUCUACACUCUUUUCCCACACAAACAGCAACAAGAAGAGCGGAAAGGUCACUGAGAUAGUGGAAUCCGUUAUAUCUGAAAUCCACUCCUUAACCCCCUCCUGUACUUUCCAAGUGUUGUGUUGCCAUGGUUACUAAUCACCUGCAUCUGGCCCUCAUCACCACACCAAUCAGUUCCCCUUCAAAAGGCACACACAUUCACUUAAUCUUAGUUCUGGCCACAUCAAGGUCACAGACCCCCUUACCUGCAAACUUGUCUUGUGGAUUUAUCUUCUGUGUAUGUUCUCCAGCGAUCUGCUUGGGACCUAGUAAGACAUUCCAAGUUAUUCAUCUGCAUAUCACACUGAACGUAAAUUGAUACAUGUUUCACCUGUCACCUGUUUUUGAUACAUGUUUCACCUGUUUCUGGGUUCUGUUAACCCAGUGUGGCUGUUGCUUUCUUUAUUUCUGUUUUAUUACGUGAUAGAAAGCCUAAGGCCUUCUCAAGCCGUUUGGAAAACCCGGGUGUGCCUCAUACGUCCUGAAAAGUGAAGCUGUGGGCUCUUUGAUCGCCCCCUGGAGGCUGGAUGCAGUACAGGUCAUAAACCCCGCCCGCUCAAUGCAGAUGAAUGAGACUUAAGUUAAAACAUAAAAAUAAAUUAUGCUUCAAAUAAAAUUUUCCGAAAGAUGGUUUUGGUCAUUUAAGGUAGUUGUCAUCAUGCUGAUUUAUAUUCAAUUGUUAGUUUUUCAUGAUAAGUUUGAUUUUUAGCUAGCAAUUUGGUGCUAUAGAAACGGGGCGUGUCAUUGUGAUUCACAGUUGAUUGACAGCUUGUCUGAGGACUGUCGGAGCUUCGAGGGGAGAUUGAAGAUAAAUAACUAUUAAUUUUCAAUUUCUGUGUUAUUUCAAACCGACAAAAUGAGCUGUUCAGCAGUAAACUGUACUAACUGACCUACAGGAUUUGACGGAUAUCUGAGCUUUUCUCUGUAACGUUAAAUGUGGACUUCAUAAGCUAAUUAAUGUGUCAGCAUUUUGGCUUCAGUUCAAUACAAUGGAAGGAAGCGGCGUCGCGUCGUCCAUCUUUUUUUUACAGUCUAUGGAAAACCCAUCUAAUCUGCUGCCUAUUACACACCAAACUAAGAUUACUGUGGAGACAGAAAGUAAGACUGUUAGCACUUUUAAACAUCUGCUCACUUAAGAAUAAAUCACUUCUAGUCAACGACUUAACGACAAACAACCUAAAUUAUGUUAAAAUGUUAAAAGGUGCUCCACAUAUUUAUCGUCAUUUACAGGCCUCCAUAAUACUCUCCAGCCUUUGUUGAGGACUUUACAGAACUGUUAUCAACAAUUUCCUCAGAGUUUGACUGUUUUGCCAUUACUGGGGACUUUAAUAUCCACAUAGAUAAUGCAGAUAAUCACAGUCAAACUCGCCCAAGGAUCCUCGACAGUUUUUGCAAUUGUAGAGAGACUAACAAACCCCCCAAGUCAGAUUCCCAAUGAAAUGCUCUCAGACAGCAAAUGCUGUGAGUUUGCUUCCUCCUUCUCUGAGAAAAUCAAUAAUAUCAGAAAGGUCACUUAGAAAUACCAAGGGUUCACUCAAAGCAAGGAGAGUCUGCUUUUAGCUGUUACGCGAGCCGCAGCUGGGACCAUCUUCCUGAAGAGAUCAGAUGUGCUCCAACAGUAGUCACAUUCAAAUCCAGAUUCAAAACGCAUCUGUUUAGCUAUGCAUUUACUGAUUGACCACUGUGCUAUGUCAGAACUGAUUGCACUUUAUUUUAUAUGUAUCAUCUUUUUAUUCUUUUAAUUCUUUUUCUUGUUUUUAUUUUAUUUUUAAUGCAUAUUAUAUAUUAAUCUUUUAUGCGUCAUCUGUUUAUUUCUGACUGUUUUAAUUUAAUUUAAAUCUUGCUGUCUGGUUGAAAGAGCUGAGAGAAUUAGGAGGUAAGCAUUUGGACAGAGUUAGUCCAGGAAGAUUUGUCUGUAAGGGUACUGUUUAAACGCACAGCUACCUGACAAAUAUAAAUAUUUUUACAGUUAUCCCUCCACGUGAGGAAGAUCCAUUUAGAUCCACUCUGAUGGAUUGAUCCAUUUAGAUCCGCUCUGACGGACAACAAAGUUGAGUUAGCCCUGGUGGCUACAAAAAGUCUGACUGAAACUCCCUGACUCUUCCAUCCAGAUAGGGGUAUUCUCUGUUUUUACUGUUAUUUUUAUUUCUUAUGCAUUCCAUUUUUAUUCUUAUGUAUUUGUUUCCUCUUUAUGUAAAGCACUUUGAAUUACCAUUGUGUAUGAAAUGUGCUAUAUUAAUAAAAUUGCCUUGCCUGUUUAUGCACAUACUGUUCAAUAAAUUACCUGAAACUGA
This is a long non-coding RNA of Megalobrama amblycephala (Wuchang bream), 7006 nucleotides long. RefSeq lists it as uncharacterized. The record is from RefSeq and is a predicted model, not a curated record. Lineage: Eukaryota; Metazoa; Chordata; Actinopteri; Cypriniformes; Xenocyprididae. The transcript has 2 exons.